AUGUUAGCGGCGGACGGGUGAGUACACGUGGGUAACCUGCCUGUAAGACUGGGAUAACUCCGGGAAACCGGGGCUAAUACCGGAUGCUUGUUUGAACCGCAUGGUUCAAACAUAAAAGGUGGCUUCGGCUACCACUUACAGAUGGACCCGCGGCGCAUUAGCUAGUUGGUGAGGUAAUGGCUCACCAAGGCAACGAUGCGUAGCCGACCUGAGAGGGUGAUCGGCCACACUGGGACUGAGACACGGCCCAGACUCCUACGGGAGGCAGC
Molecule: ribosomal RNA, 269 nt
Filed under: Bacillus sp. CM3.1
Lineage: Bacteria; Bacillati; Bacillota; Bacilli; Caryophanales; Bacillaceae
Description: partial 16S ribosomal RNA
Rfam family: Bacterial small subunit ribosomal RNA
Source: RNAcentral